AGCUUCUUAGCGCAGUAGGUAGCGCGUUGGGCUCAUAUCUCGUAUGAAUUCCUGCCUUUCCACUCUUGAGUGGAGCAACCCAAAGGUCGUCGGAUCGAAACCGACAGAAGCUA
This is a transfer RNA of 113 nucleotides. It matches the Rfam family "tRNA". Rfam says of the family: Transfer RNA (tRNA) molecules are approximately 80 nucleotides in length. Their secondary structure includes four short double-helical elements and three loops (D, anti-codon, and T loops). The record is from Rfam.